GACGAACGCUGGCGGCGUGCUUAACACAUGCAAGUCGAACGGAAAGGCCCUGCUUUUGUGGGGUGCUCGAGUGGCGAACGGGUGAGUAACACGUGAGUAACCUGCCCUUGACUUUGGGAUAACUUCAGGAAACUGGGGCUAAUACCGGAUAGGAGCUCCUGCUGCAUGGUGGGGGUUGGAAAGUUUCGGCGGUUGGGGAUGGACUCGCGGCUUAUCAGCUUGUUGGUGGGGUAGUGGCUUACCAAGGCUUUGACGGGUAGCCGGCCUGAGAGGGUGACCGGCCACAUUGGGACUGAGAUACGGCCCAGACUCCUACGGGAGGCAGCAGUGGGGAAUAUUGCACAAUGGGCGGAAGCCUGAUGCAGCAACGCCGCGUGCGGGAUGACGGCCUUCGGGUUGUAAACCGCUUUCGCCUGUGACGAAGCGUGAGUGACGGUAAUGGGUAAAGAAGCACCGGCUAACUACGUGCCAGCAGCCGCGGUGAUACGUAGGGUGCGAGCGUUGUCCGGAUUUAUUGGGCGUAAAGGGCUCGUAGGUGGUUGAUCGCGUCGGAAGUGUAAUCUUGGGGCUUAACCCUGAGCGUGCUUUCGAUACGGGUUGACUUGAGGAAGGUAGGGGAGAAUGGAAUUCCUGGUGGAGCGGUGGAAUGCGCAGAUAUCAGGAGGAACACCAGUGGCGAAGGCGGUUCUCUGGGCCUUUCCUGACGCUGAGGAGCGAAAGCGUGGGGAGCGAACAGGCUUAGAUACCCUGGUAGUCCACGCUGUAAACGGUGGGUACUAGGUGUGGGGUCCAUUCCACGGGUUCCGUGCCGUAGCUAACGCUUUAAGUACCCCGCCUGGGGAGUACGGCCGCAAGGCUAAAACUCAAAGGAAUUGACGGGGCCCCGCACGAGCGGCGGAGCAUGCGGAUUAAUUCGAUGCAACGCGUAGAACCUUACCUGGGUUUGACAUGGAUCGGGAGCGCUCAGAGAUGGGUGUGCCUCUUUUGGGGUCGGUUCACAGGUGGUGCAUGGCUGUCGUCAGCUCGUGUCGUGAGAUGUUGGGUUAAGUCCCGCAACGAGCGCAACCCUUGUUCACUGUUGCCAGCACGUUAUGGUGGGGACUCAGUGGAGACCGCCGGGGUCAACUCGGAGGAAGGUGGGGAUGACGUCAAGUCAUCAUGCCCCUUAUGUCCAGGGCUUCACGCAUGCUACAAUGGCUGGUACAGAGAGUGGCGAGCCUGUGAGGGUGAGCGAAUCUCGGAAAGCCGGUCUCAGUUCGGAUUGGGGUCUGCAACUCGACCUCAUGAAGUCGGAGUCGCUAGUAAUCGCAGAUCAGCAACGCUGCGGUGAAUACGUUCCCGGG
This 1343-nucleotide ribosomal RNA is filed under the name uncultured bacterium. RNAcentral's name for it is "16S ribosomal RNA". It matches the Rfam family "Bacterial small subunit ribosomal RNA", at positions 28 to 1378 of the family's 1533-position model. The record is from RNAcentral.